AGCCACUUCCCUCGGCCGGCGAGUGGCGAACGGGUGAGUAAUACAUCGGAACGUGCCCAAUCGUGGGGGAUAACGCAGCGAAAGCUGUGCUAAUACCGCAUACGAUCUACGGAUGAAAGCAGGGGACCGCAAGGCCUUGCGCGAAUGGAGCGGCCGAUGGCAGAUUAGGUAGUUGGUGAGGUAAAGGCUCACCAAGCCUUCGAUCUGUAGCUGGUCUGAGAGGACGACCAGCCACACUGGGACUGAGACACGGCCCAGACUCCUACGGGAGGCAGCAGUGGGGAAUUUUGGACAAUGGGCGCAAGCCUGAUCCAGCCAUGCCGCGUGCAGGAUGAAGGCCUUCGGGUUGUAAACUGCUUUUGUACGGAACGAAACGGCCUUUUCUAAUAAAGAGGGCAUAGAUGACGGUACCCGUAAGAAUAAGCACCGGCUAACUACGUGCCAGCAGCCGCGGUAAUACGUAGGGUGCAAGCGUUAAUCGGAAUUACUGGGCGUAAAGCGUGCGCAGGCGGUGAUGUCAAGACAGUUGUGAAAUCCCCGGGCUCAACCUGGGAACUGCAUCUCGUGACUGGCAUCGCUGGAGUACGUGCAGAGGGGGAUGGAAUUCCAGCGUGUAGCAGUGAAAUGCGUAGAGAUGCUGGAGGAACACCGGUGGCGAAGGCAAUCCCCUGGGCCUAGUACUGACGCUCAUGCGCGAAAGCGUGGGGAGCAAACAGGAUUAGAUACCCUGGUAGUCCACGCCCUAAACGAUGUCGACUUGGAGGUUGGGCCCUUGAGGCGUGGCUCAGUCACGGAGCUAACGCGUUAAGUCGACCGCCUGGGGAGUACGGCCGCAAGGUUAAAACUCAAAUGAAUUGACGGGGGCCCGCACAAGCGGUGGAUGCAUGUGGUUUAAUUCGAUGCAACGCGAAGAACCUUACCUACCUCUUGACAUCCACGAGAACUUAGCCAGAGAUGGCUUUGGUGCCUUCGAAAGGAACUCGUGAGACAGGUGCUGCAUGGCUGUCGUCAGCUCGUGUUGUGAAAUGUUGGGUUAAGUCCCGCAACGAGCGCAACCCUUAUCCUUUGUUGCCAGCGGUCCGGCCGGGAACUCAAAGGAGACUGCCAGUGAUAAACUGGAGGAAGGUGGGGAUGACGUCAAGUCAUCAUGGCCCUUACGAGUAGGGCUACACACGUGCUACAAUGGCGCAUACAAAGAGAAGCGACCUCGCGAGAGCAAGCGGACCUCAUAAAGUGCGUCGUAGUCCGGAUUGGAGUCUGCAACUCGACUCCAUGAAGUCGGAAUCGCUAGUAAUCGUAG
Molecule: ribosomal RNA, 1300 nt
Filed under: Variovorax guangxiensis
Lineage: Bacteria; Pseudomonadati; Pseudomonadota; Betaproteobacteria; Burkholderiales; Comamonadaceae
Description: bacterial SSU rRNA
Rfam family: Bacterial small subunit ribosomal RNA
Source: RNAcentral